Molecule: long non-coding RNA, 2040 nt
Filed under: Capsicum annuum
Lineage: Eukaryota; Viridiplantae; Streptophyta; Magnoliopsida; Solanales; Solanaceae
Description: long non-coding RNA (CANN_LNC011540)
Source: RNAcentral
AAUGUCACGCCCCAAAUCCUAUUAAGGCGGACUGGCACCCGUUGCCGGUAAGGCUCGGGAGAACCAACCUGUAGCGAUACAUUACCUAUGAACAUUAUAAGUUACUUUCAUACUAAACAUGCCCUCAAAAGAUAAAUAGGACUAGCAAGCCAAAAGAUAUUAUAUGACUAGGCCGUUGGAGCCACAAUGUCUACGGUACGAUACAUGACCAUACUAUACUUUACGUAGUCUACAAAGCCUCUAGACAAAAAACAUUAUCUUACAAGGGUCGGGACAGGCCCCGCCUCAUGAUAAGAUACUAUACAAUACAAAAAGAUAUGAUAAGACUCAAAGCCCCGAAGCAACCUGGAGCUCAGUGACUGCAGUUGAUAUCCUGUACUCUUACUGGGGAGGUUUAUUAGCUUCUGUACCUGCAGCAUGGAAUGCAGGUCCCCCAAGAGGGACGUCAGUACGAAAUAAUGUACUGAAUAUGUAAGGCAACAUGUACUAUAUAUGAGAUAAAAACUCAAAUGAAACCAUGUACUGCUGUAGGGUAAAAGACCACCUUUAUGAAUAUUGUGGAGUCAUGUAUCUUAUAACAAUUAUGUUACUUUACUCUUAUUGCUUGUAUAAUCUGUGCACAGCAUGUAAUACAGAUGACCAGCUGAUCAGUGGUAAAUCUAUAUCAGGAUCGACCCAUGCUAGGCUUUCCUUUCACCCCUGGGAUACCCCCUGGAAUGCUGGGAUUGACCCAUGCUAGGUGAUUCUUUCACCCCUGGGAUACCACCCAUCAGAAGCAACUGUAGACAUAAAUCUUCUUAUUACUUUUGAGAUGAAUCUUUGGUGGUCGUAACAUUUGAGCUAUAAGACUAUAAGCAUGACAAAUGACAAGUAUGUGUCCAUGUAACAUCAUAUCAUAAUGAAAAGAGUGGGUUGUACAAUUAGUGAAACAUGUAGGACAUAAACAACGUAUGAACUUUAUUUAGCUAAAAAGAAGACUCAUAUGUCAUGGUACCCAAUGUAUGUAUGCAGCAGUGACAAUGCUCGAAUCUGGACACACAAGUACAUGUUAAAGAGUGGAGUGGUUAUGUCAAAGUUUGUAAAGAUCUCUAUGUGCCAAUGAAGACUUUGGAUUCCAUGCCAAAUAAUAAGAGAUCGAAUAGCCUUACAUACCUCGACAUAUCAACUUGUUUUUACGUCGAAAUGACUUCUUUUCUUCCAACUAUUUAUCUACAAUAUCAUGUUUUAAAGCUAGUAUUAGCAGCUAAUCAAUGCAUCUGGACAGCCCAAUCUCACAAGACACAACACUUUGGCAACAAACGUAUAACCAUCAACUCAAUGGUGUUAUUCCGACUUUCUCAAUUCUAACUGUAUUCAACCAGCAUAGAUUAUCAUAUACAUGAUGUAUACAGCCUAUAUUAGUUCUAUAACAUGCUGGCAACAGUCCAUAACUACAACACAUAACCAUUUUACAAAACGCUCAACUAAGAAGCACAACAUCUCGUCGUCUCCCUACAUUUCGUCGUUAACAAUUCAUACUUGUCCCAACUUUGAACCAGAUGCUCCCAACAUAUAUAUACAUCAAAUAAACCUUAACAUAGUCACAAAAUAGCUCAAAACGUAGGGGAAACGUGAAACAACAUCCCCCUCAACAAAACAGUCCAAUACCAGUUUGGAAGCACAUAAGAUCAUAUAAGGAUACUUGUUUCCAAAGAACUAGCAAAACAGUCCAGCAACCUUGGCAACCAUAUACACACUAUAACAUGUUAAUAACCUCAACUUUACAUCAUAUUAAAGUGAAAAAUCAGGGUAAAAAUCGUUCCAAAGCCAAGAAAACCAAACAACAACUUUCAGGACACAAGCUGUCCAGAAAUUCCUGCACAGUGAACCAGCCAACUUAUCUUGUUUUCCAUGGAAAAUUCAUAUCAAGUAUAUGGUUAUUUUUACAUACCUUAACUCCCAAGGUGUAGGUCUAAUUCAAGAACUCAAAAAGUAGCCUUUGGUUGCCUUCCAAGGUGAAGAAAUACCAAGAGAAACUUAGAGAGAAAUUCUGAAAUUUUU